Long non-coding RNA from Pteropus alecto (black flying fox), 463 nucleotides. RefSeq lists it as uncharacterized. The transcript has 3 exons. The record is from RefSeq and is a predicted model, not a curated record. Lineage: Eukaryota; Metazoa; Chordata; Mammalia; Chiroptera; Pteropodidae.
AUAUGAAGACAGGCACGGUCUUUCUUCUAGUGGUUUUCAUCACUCUGGGGAUGGAGAUGGUCUGCUCUCAGAGACUUUCCAGAGGAUUACAAAGAUCUAGAGUCUGCCCAGAGGUGCCCAAAGGAGCCGUUGGGAUUUGUGCUGAAAUGUGCACAAGAGAUAGAUCAUGUCCCAGGGGAAUGAAAUGCUGCAGCAAUGGAUGUGGUCAUGUCUGCAAACAUCCUGUCUUCAGAAAGCGUGGAAAUGAUGACGGUGUGGUAACUAUAAUGGAACGUUAGAAGGCAUGCUUGGAGACCAGCCCCAGAAGAUUUCUUAUGAAUCCAAUGCUUGGUAUACCAGCAAGACCCUUUCACAAACCAUUCCUGGCUAUUCUCUAUCCCUAGAAUUGCAGCUCUAAAAGAUGAAGAUCUAAAAUGUCAGACUGAUUGCUUUCUAAAGAGCUUGUGUCCAAAAUAAACUGUAU